This 324-nucleotide ribosomal RNA is filed under the name uncultured eukaryote. RNAcentral describes it as "partial 18S ribosomal RNA". It matches the Rfam family "Eukaryotic small subunit ribosomal RNA", at positions 1470 to 1796 of the family's 1831-position model. The record is from RNAcentral.
CCCUUAGAUGUUCUGGUCCGCACGCGCGCUACACUGAUGCAUUCAACGAGUUUCUUCCUGGUCCGAGAGGAAUGGGUAACCUUUUGAAAGUGCAUCGUGAUAGGGAUAGACUAUUGCAAUUAUUGGUCUUCAACGAGGAAUUCCUAGUAGACGUAGUUCAUCAGACUGCAUCGAUUACGUCCCUGCCCUUUGUACACACCGCCCGUCGCUCCUACCGAUUGAAUGCUCAGGUGAGCCAUUCGGACUUUCAUCAUGCUGGUUUCCAGUUUUGAUGAAGGAAAGUCUUGCGAACCUUAUCAUUUAGAGGAAGGAGAAGUCGUAACA